CCCUUAGAUGUUCUGGGCCGCACGCGCGCUACACUGAUGCAUUCAACGAGUUUCUUCCUGGUCCGAGAGGAAUGGGUAACCUUUUGAAAGUGCAUCGUGAUAGGGAUAGACUAUUGCAAUUAUUGGUCUUCAACGAGGAAUUCCUAGUAGACGUAGUUCAUCAGACUGCAUCGAUUACGUCCCUGCCCUUUGUACACACCGCCCGUCGCUCCUACCGAUUGAAUGCUCAGGUGAGCCAUUCGGACUUUCAUCAUGCUGGUUUCCAGUUUUGAUGAAGGAAAGUCUUGCGAUCCUUAUCAUUUAGAGGAAGGAGAAGUCGUAACA
Molecule: ribosomal RNA, 324 nt
Filed under: uncultured eukaryote
Lineage: Eukaryota
Description: partial 18S ribosomal RNA
Rfam family: Eukaryotic small subunit ribosomal RNA
Source: RNAcentral